This 449-nucleotide ribosomal RNA is filed under the name uncultured bacterium. RNAcentral describes it as "partial 16S ribosomal RNA". It matches the Rfam family "Bacterial small subunit ribosomal RNA", at positions 29 to 523 of the family's 1533-position model. The record is from RNAcentral.
AACGAACGCUGGCGGCAUGCCUAACACAUGCAAGUCGAACGAGAUCUUCGGGUCUAGUGGCGCACGGGUGCGUAACGCGUGGGAAUCAGCCCUUUGGUUCGGAAUAACAGUUGGAAACGACUGCUAAUACCGGAUGAUGACGAAAGUCCAAAGAUUUAUCGCAAGAGGAUGAGCCCGCGUAGGAUUAGCUAGUGGGUGUGGUAAAGGCGCACCAAGGCGACGAUCCUUAGCUGGUCUGAGAGGAUGAUCAGCCACACUGGGACGGAGACACGGCCCAGACUCCUACGGGAGGCAGCAGUGGGGAAUAUUGGACAAUGGGCGAAGGCCUGAUCCAGCAAUGCCGCGUGAGUGAUGAAGGCCUUAGGGUUGUAAAGCUCUUUUACCCGGGAUGAUAAUGACAGUACCGGGAGAAUAAGCUCCGGCUAACUCCGUGCCAGCCGCCGCAGUAA